Molecule: ribosomal RNA, 253 nt
Filed under: uncultured bacterium
Lineage: Bacteria
Description: partial 16S ribosomal RNA
Rfam family: Bacterial small subunit ribosomal RNA
Source: RNAcentral
UACGAAGGGGGCUAGCGUUGCUCGGAAUCACUGGGCGUAAAGGGUGCGUAGGCGGGUUUCUAAGUCAGAGGUGAAAUCCUGGAGCUCAACUCCAGAACUGCCUUUGAUACUGGAAGUCUUGAGUAUGGGAGAGGUGAGUGGAACUGCGAGUGUAGAGGUGAAAUUCGUAGAUAUUCGCAAGAACACCAGUGGCGAAGGCGGCUCACUGGCCCGAUACUGACGCUGAGGCACGAAAGCGUGGGGAGCAAACAGG